UACGGAGGGUGCAAGCGUUACUCGGAAUCACUGGGCGUAAAGCGAACGCAGGCGGACUUCUAAGUCGGAAGUGAAAGCCCCGGGCUCAACCUGGGAAUUGCUUUCGAUACUGGAAGUCUUGAGUCCAGAAGAGGGUGGUGGAAUUCCUGGUGUAGAGGUGAAAUUCGUUGAUAUCAGGAGGAACAUCGGUGGCGAAGGCGGCCACCUGGUCUGGUACUGACGCUCAUGUUCGAAAGCGUGGGGAGCAAACAGG
RNAcentral lists this ribosomal RNA (253 nucleotides) under uncultured bacterium. RNAcentral describes it as "partial 16S ribosomal RNA". It matches the Rfam family "Bacterial small subunit ribosomal RNA", at positions 524 to 776 of the family's 1533-position model. The record is from RNAcentral.